Long non-coding RNA from Cyprinus carpio (common carp), 1538 nucleotides. NCBI's taxonomy places the organism in Eukaryota, Metazoa, Chordata, Actinopteri, Cypriniformes, Cyprinidae. The record is from Ensembl.
AAUGAGAGAAAACAGUAACAGAUUUACUAUGAAAAUGUAUUUAGUUAACUUUUCCCCAGAUGGCUCAUUUUAGCCGCUAACCACUUUUUAUUAUAUAAACAACUAGAGAAACGUAUGGCAAAUCUGGGGCACGUUUAGGCAGUGAAUCACCGGUUUUGACAUUUGUGGCAAUCUUUUAAUAUCAAGUGAUAACAGACAAGUGUGCAGUCAUGGCCUAACGGUUAUAGAGUCAGACUUGUAAUCCAAAGGUUGUGGGUUCGUGUCUUGGUACUGGCAGGGAUUGUAGGUGACCAGUGCUCUCUUCCAGUCUCAAUACCACAACUAAGGUAAGACCUUUGAGCAAGAACUGAACCCCCAACUGCUCCCUGGGCACCACAGCAAAAAAUGGCUACCCACUGCUCCGGGUGUGUGUGAGUUCACUACUCACUGCUGUGUGUGUGUGUGCACUUGGACGGGUGAAAUGCAGAGCACAAAUUCUGAGUAUGGGACACUACACAUCAAGUCACUUUAUUAUCACAACUAGAAUUAAACAUAACUUUUUUUUUUAUAAAAUUCCUUGCAUGGGAGAUAUUUAAAAACUUCCUCAUCUAUGUCUGUGCUCUAAUUCCAUUCUGGCUUCAAGCUUUGAGACACUUUCCAUUUCCUUUUCAGCGAUGACUGAAGCUGUGUGUCUGUCCCUCGUGUGCCGGUGGUCUGCAUUAAAUAAGGCAGAGUGUGUUUAAAGCGCGUCAGGCCUCUCUGGCCUCAGGCAGCAGGUGAAGGAGCUUGUCCUGUAAUGUCCUGCUGACCUUUUCUUCUGUCUCAAACCUGAGUGCAGAACCUACUGCAGGUCCUGCUGGAUUUAUGGAGUUUAGACUCUUACAGGAGACGGCAGGAGAAGAAACCUGCUGGAAAUUGGAUUGCGGCUGCUGGCGUCCCUUGAGUCACUGACUUUUAAUUGGACGGCUGCUUUUUGUUCAGAUAUUAGCAUGAGUAAUGUGGCUCUAUGACAACCUCCAUGACUUCUCAAGAGUCCAUUGUGAAAGUCGAGCAGAGCGGGAGGAAGUGAGAAAAGGAACACCCUGUGAGCUGUCUUUCAACACCUUGAGCUUCUCUCCGAUCCUCACGCCACUCGUCUCAUUAAACUCCCACUGUGCGUCCAUGAAAGAGCCUCACAGUAGUUAAAAAUAAUGGCUUUUGCUCCUUCGCACCUGGCAGUGAUUAAGAUUUCCUUAUAAAUAGCUUUUCAUUAUGAAGUUAAUCCAAGGAAAUGUAAUUUGUUACUGAAAGACCAGUUUCACCCAUUUACAUUUUAAAAUGUAUAAUAUCCUUUUCAAAUCCUGUCGGAAUAAUAGGAUGGAUAAGGAAAGAACUAAAACAGAGAAUAUGUUUAAGCGCUGUUUUAUUUCAAAUCCUCUCUCUAUACACGUAGAAACAUCGCAUCCUUGUGGUGCGGCUGACACAGAAGAGCAUACGCAGCAUACGGUGAUAUAGAGAGACACAGAGGAGACCGCUGACAAAGGAAUUGUUGAAUAAAGUCAUUAUUUUUGUUUUCUUCA